CCUGAGAAACCCGAAAGAUCGAAUGGGGGGACUCAACGACUGCGAUCCUGGCGCUCGCGCGGUUCGCGAUUCUACGGGGCCUCGGCCUCGUGGGACGCGUCCGUGUGUGCUUAUUCGCCGGGCGUCGCCGUCGCGCACUUCUCCCCUAGUAGGACGUCGCGACCCGUUGGGUGUCGGUCUACGGCCCGGGUGGGCGCCUGUCGUUUGUUACGCCUCGCGGCGUCAUGCGGCAGACCCCCGGUUGCCCGACCAGCUGCCCGGCGGUACUCGCACGGUAUCGAGCCGCAAAUAUUUGAACUGCGUCAGGCCCGUCGCAAGCGAGGCCAGUGUUUAACCCGGAUGCGUACGGACCUAGUGCCGUCACCGGGCCUGGCCGGCUGUUGGCCGACGGUGUCCUAGGACAGGCUCUUUCGAAUUAUGAUACCGGUCGGCGACGCUACUGCUUUGGGUACUUUCAGGACCCGUCUUGAAACACGGA
Molecule: ribosomal RNA, 478 nt
Filed under: Creagrura nigripes
Lineage: Eukaryota; Metazoa; Arthropoda; Insecta; Hymenoptera; Ichneumonidae
Description: eukaryotic LSU rRNA
Source: RNAcentral